AGAGAGAGACAUGCGUGCAUAUCAAUAAGCGGAGGAAAAGAAACUAACUAGGAUUCCCCUAGUAACGGCGAGUGAAGCGGGAAGAGCUCAAAUUUGAAAUCUUAAAGGGUUUCCCUUGACGAAUUGUAGUUUAAAGAAGUGUUUUUCUGUUGGAGGUUUUGGUAAAAGUUCUUUGGAAUAGGACAUCAUAGAGGGUGAGAAUCCCGUAUUUGACCAUUUACUUUCAAGCUUUGUGAUACACUUUCAAAGAGUCGGAUUGUUUGGGAAUGCAGUCCAAAAUGGGUGGUAAAUUUCAUCUAAAGCUAAAUAUUGGCGAGAGACCGAUAGCGAACAAGUACCGUGAGGGAAAGAUGAAAAGAACUUUGAAAAGAGAGUUAAACAGUACGUGAAAUUGUCAAAAGGGAAGCGUUUGACACCAGUGUUGUUUUUCUGAAAAUCAAUUAAAGAACUGUUUAUGCUAAGUUGUUUAGACUUUAUCAGCUAACUGUUUAGUUUUGAGCUCUUCUUUAAUGCACUUUUCCAGUUAACAAGUCAACAUCAAUUUCUUUUGCUGUAAAAAAGCUUGAGGAAGGUGGCUUGAGAUUCGUCUUAAGUGUUUAUAGCCUCUUGCCUAUGCAGUCGGAGAGAUUGAGGUCUGCAGCGUAGAUCCUUCGGGGCUAAAUGCAUUUGUGCUAAGUUAUAGCAUUUUAUAGACAACUUGUUGACUAUGAUCAGUCAUGUAGCUUACUCGCUUAUGCUAUUUUACCUACGCUUAGGAUGUUGAUGUGAUACUGCGAGCA
This 779-nucleotide ribosomal RNA is filed under the name uncultured Neocallimastigales. Its description in RNAcentral is "partial large subunit ribosomal RNA". It matches the Rfam family "Eukaryotic large subunit ribosomal RNA", at positions 23 to 646 of the family's 3401-position model. Lineage: Eukaryota; Fungi; Neocallimastigomycota; Neocallimastigomycetes; Neocallimastigales. The record is from RNAcentral.